This 207-nucleotide unclassified non-coding RNA is filed under the name soil metagenome. RNAcentral describes it as "partial contains 5.8S ribosomal RNA, internal transcribed spacer 2, and large subunit ribosomal RNA". The record is from RNAcentral.
AACCAUAGAAACCUGCGGAGUACCUGCGGAAGGAUCAUUACCGAGUUUACAACUCCCAAACCCCUGUGAACAUACCACUUGUUGCCUCGGCGGAUCAGCCCGCUCCCGGUAAAACGGGACGGCCCGCCAGAGGACCCCUAAACUCUGUUUCUAUAUGUAACUUCUGAGUAAAACCAUAAAUAAAUCAAAACUUUUAGCAACGGAUCU